AGAGUUUGAUCAUGGCUCAGGACGAACGCUGGCGGCGUGCCUAAUACAUGCAAGUCGAGCGAGUGAAACUAACUGAUCCUCAUCUGAGGUGACGUUAAUGGAUCUAGCGGCGGACGGGUGAGUAACACGUGGGUAACCUGCCUACAAGAUUGGGAUAACUCGCGGAAACGCGAGCUAAUACCGAAUGAUACUUUUCAUCGCAUGGUGAGAAGAUGAAAGACGGCGCAAGCUGUCACUUGUAGAUGGACCCGCGGCGCAUUAGCUAGUUGGUGAGGUAACGGCUCACCAAGGCGACGAUGCGUAGCCGACCUGAGAGGGUGAUCGGCCACACUGGGACUGAGACACGGCCCAGACUCCUACGGGAGGCAGCAGUAGGGAAUCUUCCGCAAUGGACGAAAGUCUGA
This 404-nucleotide ribosomal RNA is filed under the name uncultured Bacillaceae bacterium. RNAcentral describes it as "bacterial SSU rRNA". It matches the Rfam family "Bacterial small subunit ribosomal RNA", at positions 8 to 386 of the family's 1533-position model. Lineage: Bacteria; Bacillati; Bacillota; Bacilli; Caryophanales; Bacillaceae. The record is from RNAcentral.